UUUUAAAACUAUAGAUUGCUCAUUUAAAUUAUUUUAUUUCAUAAAUUUUAAUCUUUAAACUAGGAUUAGAUACCCUACUAUUUUAAUAUGUAAUUUUGAUUGCCUAGGUAGUAUUAGUUAUGGUCUUGAAACUUAAAAAAUUUGGSGGUAUUUUAGUCUGUUCAGAGGAACCUGUUCYGUAAUCGAUAGUCCACGUUGGAUCUUACUUGAUCUUGUUUAGUUUGUAUACCGCCGUUAUUGAAUAUUUUAUUAGAACAAUAAUUUUCAAUAAUUUUUAUAAAAAUUUAUAUCAGGUCAAGGUGCAGCUUAUGGUUAAGUUUAAAAUGGGUUACAAUAAAUUUAUUUAUACGGAUUUUAGAAUUAAAUUUUUAGAUGAAGGAGGAUUUGAUAGUAAUAUUGCUUAGAGAGGCAAUAUGAUUUUAGCUCUAAAAUAUGUAC
This 438-nucleotide ribosomal RNA is filed under the name Eremisca vernalis. RNAcentral describes it as "partial small subunit ribosomal RNA". Lineage: Eukaryota; Metazoa; Arthropoda; Insecta; Diptera; Asilidae. The record is from RNAcentral.